CCUCCCCACAACCAUGAGUAGAUCUGCGUAGAGUAGGCUGCUGCGCACUAGGCCGCCACACAAGACACUUGGCAUCACCCGGGUUGGGAGUAAUGAGCACGGGGAGGGAGAGAGAGAGAGAGCCGAGGGAGGAGUCCUAGCGCCGGGGUUCGUCUCUGAAGAGGUCAAAUGGCGUUCCGGAGGGAAGAUCUCAUUUACAUCAGCCGCCCCACGACGUGCUGGAGAGGUUCCGCCUCGCCUUCCUCACAGGAGGUACUGCAAACCCUACCGCGUUCAUCGCCAAACUUUUAAAGCAGUUAUCCUAAUCACUGCGUGGAGCCGGCGUCGCCUUCUUCCCACCAGUGACUUCAAUGGUGCAGAUUAUCCUAAGAAAUGAGCCCCAUGUUCCACCGCAUUUAUCACAAACUUU
Procambarus clarkii (red swamp crayfish) is the source of this 409-nucleotide non-coding RNA. NCBI's taxonomy places the organism in Eukaryota, Metazoa, Arthropoda, Malacostraca, Decapoda, Cambaridae. The record is from RefSeq and is a predicted model, not a curated record.